This is a long non-coding RNA of Haliotis rubra (blacklip abalone), 284 nucleotides long. RefSeq lists it as uncharacterized. NCBI's taxonomy places the organism in Eukaryota, Metazoa, Mollusca, Gastropoda, Lepetellida, Haliotidae. The record is from RefSeq and is a predicted model, not a curated record. The transcript has 4 exons.
AUCAAUGUAUAUACUACUGAGGGCAAGCUAUUCCUUGAUCUCUGAUUGGUCAGUUUUAUGUUGUAUGAUUUCUUCUUUACUAACAUCAGCACAUUUUAGUCAGUCUACCACAUACAGCUGCACAAGAAAGGCACCUCAAACAUAUGACGUGACAAUUUGACAGACGUCUGAUUUCCACUCCUUUUUCGUCUACAACUUCUCUCUGUUCAAGAUGUGAUAUGACUGUUUUAUUGACUAUUGUUAUUAUGUUACAGGGUGAAAACAAAACAAACUAUAUAUUUGAG